Molecule: long non-coding RNA, 725 nt
Filed under: Pan troglodytes (chimpanzee)
Lineage: Eukaryota; Metazoa; Chordata; Mammalia; Primates; Hominidae
Description: long non-coding RNA NONPTRT003414
Source: RNAcentral
UCACACACACUCCUGCUGGUGAUGCCAAAGACAUCCUACCAAUAUGUCUGAGAGAGUGUCAGUUCUGGAGGCAAUGCAGGUGGCCUGAAUGUACCAGUUCCUGUGGAGCAGGGAAUGCAGCCCCAGCUUGUCUGUGAUCUCAGUGGUGUUCAUGGUGUUGAGAAGGGCCUACGUGUUGGGAACACCAGGGGGGCCGCAUUCCAGAGCUCAUCCUCAGCCAACAUCCUCAUGAGCUCCUCAUGGGCCUUGUUCAUGUGCUCUCUGUCACUACUGUCCUCCAUAAAGAUCAGGCCUUAUGUGUUCUGGAAGUAGUGGCACCACAGAGGCCAGAUCUUGUGCUGGCCUGCCAUGUCCCACACAGUGAAGCUGAUGUUCCUAGACUCCAUGUAUCUGCAUUGAAGCCUGUGAUGGGAACAGUGGUCACAAUCUCAACCAGCUUCAGCUUAUACAGAAUCAUCAUCUUGCCUGCAGCAUCUAGGCCCACCAUGAGGACAAGCGUUUCUUUUUUGCCAAAAACGAUCUUAAAGAAGUUGGUGAAAGAUAAUCCCCAUGGACCCUCAGCCUCCCAAGUAGCUGGUACUACAGAUGAGCACCACGACGCCUGGCUAAUGUAUAUAUUUUUAGUAGAAAUGGGGGUUUUGCCACGUUGGCCAGGCUGGUCUCGAACUCCUGGCCUCAAGUGAUCCACCCACCUCAGCCUCCCAAAGUGUUGGGAUUACAGGCAU